Molecule: ribosomal RNA, 315 nt
Filed under: Triticum aestivum (bread wheat)
Lineage: Eukaryota; Viridiplantae; Streptophyta; Magnoliopsida; Poales; Poaceae
Description: partial small subunit ribosomal RNA
Source: RNAcentral
AUGGUCAUGGAUCUACUCGAGAAGGUGAGAGGACGAAGACAGAGGGGGUGCUCGAGGUGGUCAAGGCGGAGCAGCAGAGGACGGCUCGUCCACGAGCUCAAGUUUAAGGCGGACGGCGGCCUCAACGGGUGGGUGACGACAUCUACACCUGGUUCCACCUUGCUGUGGCAAAAUAGGAGGCCAUUCAUGCAGUCAUGCAGCGGAUGGAGUCCUCGGCAGGGUUCUAUUAAAUGUGAACAUGUUUGCGUCAAGGCUUUGUUGAUGGUUGAAGAAGAAAUCAAGGUCGCCAAAACUCGGGUGCUGCUGAAUUGCUAG